This 340-nucleotide long non-coding RNA is filed under the name Fukomys damarensis (Damara mole-rat). RNAcentral's name for it is "lncRNA (ENSFDAG00000027848.1)". The record is from RNAcentral. Lineage: Eukaryota; Metazoa; Chordata; Mammalia; Rodentia; Bathyergidae.
UAAUUUGUUUUUGACCAAACUCUAAUAGAUUUUAGUUGUUCUUUUUGUUUUGGUUCACAGGUUCUUGUGCUUGGGAGGAUUGAACACAGGCCCUUGAGUUUGUUUGUGAGGCAGAAGGAGGAACCACUGAGCUAAAUCCCUGGUUCCAAAAUUUCCCAGAUUUUGCUUCAACACAGUUCUUCUUCUACAGCUAUAUUAAGUUUUAUUGUUUUCAGGCCCACUUUUCUUCUUGAUGCAAACAUUUCCACAUCCUGCUGCAUGGAGACACGCCUCUGGAGGACAGUAACUGGAAAUUAUAGUUAUUUGUGCAUCCAGUCUUGAUAUCGGAUAUAUCAGCCAG